Molecule: long non-coding RNA, 470 nt
Organism: Homo sapiens (human)
Lineage: Eukaryota; Metazoa; Chordata; Mammalia; Primates; Hominidae
Gene: RPS6KB2-AS1
Product: RPS6KB2 antisense RNA 1
Source: Ensembl
UGAUUCAGCCCUUUAAUCUUCCACGGGAGCAGUUGAGCGCGGGGCGUGGCGGGCGGCCCUCCGUGCCCAUGAUUCAGGGGCACAGCUGCCCCAGCAGACACACACUUUCAUACGCACUCACACCCCACCCCCAGACACACCCCCAGGUCUCUGGAACUGGCCCAGGGUCCUGCUGCUCUCACAGCCGCAGGGACAGGGCUCAAGGGCUACCCUCACCCCCACCCGGCUUCCUAGCGCCCUGGACGCCCACGGCCCCUCUUGGACUUCUUGGUCCCUGAGGGGGGACGGAUGGGGAGAGGGGCGGUGGUCGAGGGCGGCGGCGGUGGCAGGAGUGGAGGUAGAGGUAGAGUUUGCCACCAGUCUGGAAGGCAUAGGCCAGUUCCACAAUAAAGGGGUGCUUCACUGACUCUAGAAUGUUCCGCUCAGCCCGUGUGUGUGCUGUGUCCUUGGCAUUGCGCACAAUUUUGGCC